UAAAGUAGUCGGAUAAUCGCGCCUGAAUUUCAGGUGAGGAAAGUCCGUGCAUCUCAGAACAGGCCGCCGGAGAAACUCCGGACGAUGUGAGUCGGUGGAUAGUGCCACAGAAAUGUAGACUGCCGAUGGACUAUAUGUCACAGGCGAUGGUGCAACGGUGAGUUAAGAGCUUCACCAGUGAUAUCGAGAGGUAUCAGCUAGGUAAACCCCGGUUGGAUGCAAGAUUGACUCGAAGGUUAUAAAGGUUGUUCGCCAACUUCGGAAAAAUCGCUAGAGAUUAGGAGUAAUCCUAAUACCAGACAGAUGAUUAUCUAAAACAGAACACGGCUUACGGGCUACUUUAUUUU
Molecule: RNase P RNA, 347 nt
Filed under: Cyanobacteria bacterium SIG26
Lineage: Bacteria; Bacillati; Cyanobacteriota
Description: RNase P RNA component class A
Rfam family: Bacterial RNase P class A
About the family: Ribonuclease P (RNase P) is a ubiquitous endoribonuclease, found in archaea, bacteria and eukarya as well as chloroplasts and mitochondria. Its best characterised activity is the generation of mature 5'-ends of tRNAs by cleaving the 5'-leader elements of precursor-tRNAs. Cellular RNase Ps are ribonucleoproteins.
Source: RNAcentral